AAUUUUUUUCCUGUCUCAAACCUUCUCCUUCAACUAUCCAUUGUGGGCUAAGGCAUUGUUGCUGCAGCUACGAAUUCUUGAGACCUGCAUCGCAUGUUUUCCACUGUUUGCCUGUAUUUCCACACGACACAAGCUGGUUGGGUCAGUCCUCGGUGUUACCUACAGUUCAAUACACUUAGGCGCUUCGAUUGCUGAGGCCGUACAGUUCAACUGCCAGAAUGAUUCACAACCG
Long non-coding RNA from Haliotis rubra (blacklip abalone), 232 nucleotides. RefSeq lists it as uncharacterized. The record is from RefSeq and is a predicted model, not a curated record. The transcript is spliced from 3 exons. NCBI's taxonomy places the organism in Eukaryota, Metazoa, Mollusca, Gastropoda, Lepetellida, Haliotidae.